Molecule: long non-coding RNA, 257 nt
Filed under: Brassica rapa (field mustard)
Lineage: Eukaryota; Viridiplantae; Streptophyta; Magnoliopsida; Brassicales; Brassicaceae
Description: long non-coding RNA (BRAP_LNC002338)
Source: RNAcentral
CCCAAGCUAUGGCUAUAUUGUUAAUUUUUUUCCUAUUAUGGUUAUACAACAAAUUCUCCCUUUCUAAAUUUUAUUGAACAUGAAAUAAUAUUAAAUUGACAUACCGUCAUCGGUCUCCUAACUCAUUACAACCCAUCUGGCAAAUACAAAAAAUAAAUAAUUGUAACAGUUUAUAUAUUUUAAAAUUUGUAUUUGAAAAAAAGUAGAUUAAAAUUACGUACCGUGACUACGGAAUAUUCUGAAAAAUUUGUUUGUAG